Molecule: ribosomal RNA, 496 nt
Filed under: uncultured Bacillaceae bacterium
Lineage: Bacteria; Bacillati; Bacillota; Bacilli; Caryophanales; Bacillaceae
Description: bacterial SSU rRNA
Rfam family: Bacterial small subunit ribosomal RNA
Source: RNAcentral
AGCGGCGAACGGGUGAGUAACACGUGGGCAACCUGCCCUGCAGUUUGGGAUAACUUCGGGAAACCGGAGCUAAUACCGAAUAAUUCUCCUGAACGCAUGUUUAGGAGCUGAAAGAUGGCGCGAGCUAUCGCUGCAGGAUGGGCCCGCGGCGCAUUAGCUAGUUGGUGGGGUAAUGGCUCACCAAGGCGACGAUGCGUAGCCGACCUGAGAGGGUGAUCGGCCACACUGGGACUGAGACACGGCCCAGACUCCUACGGGAGGCAGCAGUAGGGAAUCUUCCGCAAUGGACGCAAGUCUGACGGAGCGACGCCGCGUGAGUGAAGAAGGCCUUCGGGUCGUAAAACUCUGUUGUUAGGGAAGAACAAGUACGAGAGUCACUGCUCGUACCUUGACGGUACCUAACGAGGAAGCCCCGGCUAACUACGUGCCAGCAGCCGCGGUAAUACGUAGGGGGCGAGCGUUGUCCGGAAUUAUUGGGCGUAAGCGCGCGCAGGCG